RNAcentral lists this ribosomal RNA (502 nucleotides) under uncultured bacterium. RNAcentral describes it as "bacterial SSU rRNA". It matches the Rfam family "Bacterial small subunit ribosomal RNA", at positions 8 to 507 of the family's 1533-position model. The record is from RNAcentral.
AGAGUUUGAUCAUGGCUCAGAUUGAACGCUGGCGGUAUGCUUAACACAUGCAAGUCGAACGGGUAACAGGCCUUCGGGCGCUGACGAGUGGCGGACGGGUGAGUAACGCGUAGGAAUCUGCCUCAUAGUGGGGGACAACGUGGGGAAACUCACGCUAAUACCGCAUACGCCCUACGGGGGAAAGCGGGGGAUCUUCGGACCUCGCGCUAUGAGAUGAGCCUGCGUUAGAUUAGCUAGUUGGUAGGGUAAAGGCCUACCAAGGCGACGAUCUAUAGCUGGUCUGAGAGGACGAUCAGCCACGCUGGGACUGAGACACGGCCCAGACUCCUACGGGAGGCAGCAGUGGGGAAUAUUGGACAAUGGGCGCAAGCCUGAUCCAGCAAUACCGCGUGUGUGAAGAAGGCCUUAGGGUUGUAAAGCACUUUCAAUUGGGAGGAAAACCUGCCGGUCAAUACCCGGUAGCUUGACAUUACCUUUAGAAGAAGCACCGGCUAACUCCGUG